GCUUAACACAUGCAAGUCGAGGGGCAGCAUGGUCUUAGCUUGCUAAGGUCGAUGGCGACCGGCGCACGGGUGAGUAACGCGUAUCCAACCUGCCUUACACUCUUGGACAGCCUUCUGAAAGGGAGAUUAAUACAAGAUGUUAUCAUGAGUAAGCAUUUUCGCAUGAUUAAAGGUUUACCGGUGUAAGAUGGGGAUGCGUUCCAUUAGAUAGUAGGCGGGGUAACGGCCCACCUAGUCUUCGAUGGAUAGGGGUUCUGAGAGGAAGGUCCCCCACAUUGGAACUGAGACACGGUCCAAACUCCUACGGGAGGCAGCAGUGAGGAAUAUUGGUCAAUGGACGAGAGUCUGAACCAGCCAAGUAGCGUGAAGGAUGAAGGUUCUAUGGAUUGUAAACUUCUUUUAUACGGGAAUAAACGAAUCCACGUGUGGAUUUUUGCAUGUACCGUAUGAAUAAGGAUCGGCUAACUCCGUGCCAGCAGCCGCGGUAAUACGGAGGAUCCGAGCGUUAUCCGGAUUUAUUGGGUUUAAAGGGAGCGUAGAUGGGUUGUUAAGUCAGUUGUGAAAGUUUGCGGCUCAACCGUAAAAUUGCAAUUGAUACUGGCAGUCUUGAGUACAGUUGAGGUAGGCGGAAUUCGUGGUGUAGCGGUGAAAUGCUUAGAUAUCACGAAGAACUCCGAUUGCGAAGGCAGCUUACUAACCUGUAACUGACAUUGAUGCUCGAAAGUGUGGGUAUCAAACAGGAUUAGAUACCCUGGUAGUCCACACGGUAAACGAUGAAUACUCGCUGUAGGCGAUAUACAGUCUGCGGCCAAGCGAAAGCAUUAAGUAUUCCACCUGGGGAGUACGCCGGCAACGGUGAAACUCAAAGGAAUUGACGGGGGCCCGCACAAGCGGAGGAACAUGUGGUUUAAUUCGAUGAUACGCGAGGAACCUUACCCGGGCUUAAAUUGCAACCGAAUAUGGCGGAAACGCUAUAGCUAGCAAUAGCGGUUGUGAAGGUGCUGCAUGGUUGUCGUCAGCUCGUGCCGUGAGGUGUCGGCUUAAGUGCCAUAACGAGCGCAACCCUUGCCGAUAGUUACUAACAGGUUAUGCUGAGGACUCUGUCGGGACUGCCAUCGUAAGAUGUGAGGAAGGUGGGGAUGACGUCAAAUCAGCACGGCCCUUACGUCCGGGGCUACACACGUGUUACAAUGGGGGGUACAGAGGGCUGCUACCACGCAAGUGGAUGCCAAUCCCAAAAACCUCUCUCAGUUCGGAUUGAAGUCUGCAACCCGACUUCAUGAAGCUGGAUUCGCUAGUAAUCGCGCAUCAGCCACGGCGCGGUGAAUACGUUCCCGGGCCUUGUACACACCGCCCGUCAAGCCAUGGGAGCCGGGGGUACCUGAAGUGCGUAACCGCAAGGAGCGCCCUAGGGUAAAACUGGUGACUGGGGCUAAGU
Molecule: ribosomal RNA, 1438 nt
Filed under: uncultured organism
Description: 16S ribosomal RNA
Rfam family: Bacterial small subunit ribosomal RNA
Source: RNAcentral